AGUCGAACGGUAACAGGAAGCAGCUUGCUGCUUCGCUGACGAGUGGCGGACGGGUGAGUAAUGUCUGGGAAACUGCCUGAUGGAGGGGGAUAACUACUGGAAACGGUAGCUAAUACCGCAUAACGUCGCAAGACCAAAGAGGGGGACCUUCGGGCCUCUUGCCAUCGGAUGUGCCCAGAUGGGAUUAGCUAGUAGGUGGGGUAACGGCUCACCUAGGCGACGAUCCCUAGCUGGUCUGAGAGGAUGACCAGCCACACUGGAACUGAGACACGGUCCAGACUCCUACGGGAGGCAGCAGUGGGGAAUAUUGCACAAUGGGCGCAAGCCUGAUGCAGCCAUGCCGCGUGUAUGAAGAAGGCCUUCGGGUUGUAAAGUACUUUCAGCGGGGAGGAAGGGAGUAAAGUUAAUACCUUUGCUCAUUGACGUUACCCGCAGAAGAAGCACCGGCUAACUCCGUGCCAGCAGCCGCGGUAAUACGGAGGGUGCAAGCGUUAAUCGGAAUUACUGGGCGUAAAGCGCACGCAGGCGGUUUGUUAAGUCAGAUGUGAAAUCCCCGGGCUCAACCUGGGAACUGCAUCUGAUACUGGCAAGCUUGAGUCUCGUAGAGGGGGGUAGAAUUCCAGGUGUAGCGGUGAAAUGCGUAGAGAUCUGGAGGAAUACCGGUGGCGAAGGCGGCCCCCUGGGACGAAGACUGACGCUCAG
This 702-nucleotide ribosomal RNA is filed under the name Shigella flexneri. Its description in RNAcentral is "bacterial SSU rRNA". It matches the Rfam family "Bacterial small subunit ribosomal RNA", at positions 60 to 750 of the family's 1533-position model. The record is from RNAcentral. Lineage: Bacteria; Pseudomonadati; Pseudomonadota; Gammaproteobacteria; Enterobacterales; Enterobacteriaceae.